ACGGUUAUAAAUCAACAUAUUGAUUUAUAAGUAUGGAAAUCCCCUGAGUGAAACAACGAAUUGCUGUGUGUAGUCUUUGCCCAUCUCCCACGAUGGGCUUUUUUUUAA
This 108-nucleotide non-coding RNA is filed under the name Escherichia coli. Its description in RNAcentral is "antisense sRNA RprA". It matches the Rfam family "RprA RNA". From Rfam's summary of the family: Translational regulation of the stationary phase sigma factor RpoS is mediated by the formation of a double-stranded RNA stem-loop structure in the upstream region of the rpoS messenger RNA, occluding the translation initiation site. RNAcentral also lists the same sequence under 6 other names. The record is from RNAcentral. Lineage: Bacteria; Pseudomonadati; Pseudomonadota; Gammaproteobacteria; Enterobacterales; Enterobacteriaceae.